RNAcentral lists this ribosomal RNA (253 nucleotides) under uncultured bacterium. Its description in RNAcentral is "partial 16S ribosomal RNA". It matches the Rfam family "Bacterial small subunit ribosomal RNA", at positions 524 to 776 of the family's 1533-position model. The record is from RNAcentral.
UACGGAGGGGGCUAGCGUUGUUCGGAAUUACUGGGCGUAAAGCGCACGUAGGCGGCUUUGCAAGUCAGAGGUGAAAGCCCGGGGCUCAACCCCGGAAUUGCCUUUGAGACUGCAUCGCUAGAAUUGUGGAGAGGUAAGUGGAAUUCCUGGUGUAGCGGUGAAAUGCGCAGAUAUCAGGAGGAACACCGGUGGCGAAGGCGGGUCUCUGGGCCGAUAUUGACGCUGAGGAGCGAAAGCGUGGGGAGCAAACAGG